GAUGAACGCUAGCGGCAGGCUUAAUACAUGCAAGUCAAGGGGGUAGCAAUACAACCGGCGCACGGGUGAGUAACGCGUACACAACAUACCAUAUACUGGGGUAUAGCUUCGGGAAACUGAAGGUAAUCCCCCAUAAUAUUGCGGGAAGGCAUCUUUCUGCAAUUAAAGUUUCGACGGUAUAUGAUUGGUGUGCGUUUGAUUAGCUAGUUGGUAGGGUAACGGCCUACCAAGGCGACGAUCAAUAGCUGGCGUGAGAGCGCGACCAGCCACACUGGAACUGAGACACGGUCCAGACUCCUACGGGAGGCAGCAGUAGGGAAUAUUGGACAAUGGGCGAAAGCCUGAUCCAGCCAUGCCGCGUGAUAGAUGAAGGCCCUCUGGGUUGUAAAGCUCUUUCAGCAGGAACGAAACGGUGAGGGUUAAUACCCUUUACUAAUGACGGUACCUGAAGAAGAAGCACCGGCUAACUACGUGCCAGCAGCCGCGGUAAUGUCAGUG
This 498-nucleotide ribosomal RNA is filed under the name uncultured bacterium. Its description in RNAcentral is "bacterial SSU rRNA". It matches the Rfam family "Bacterial small subunit ribosomal RNA", at positions 28 to 532 of the family's 1533-position model. The record is from RNAcentral.